GCACCCACUUACAUCCAAUUGUUGUGGAAAGAUGUGAUUCUUUCACCAUUCACCUUGUGGUCUUCUCUCACGUGUUGGAUAUCUUCUUUCAUGCAAAGAAGAUGAGCCUUCUUGCACCUCUUGCUGCCUUGUAUGACUCAUGGAGUGCUUUCUCUUACUCAUUUGUUGGUAUUCUUCAUCUUCAUUCUCUUCCUUGUCCUUGUUGUAUCUUGCUGGAAUUGAGUCUUCAUAGUAUUGGGCUCUUCUAUCAUGGCAACUUCCUCUCCUUCUUCACUUUGAGAAUGCUCUUCUUCAUCUUCUUGUUUGUUUGUUGGAAUUGAAGAUGUGUCCACAAACACACCACUAUUCCCACUUGGACACAUCUCCCACUUUU
This 373-nucleotide long non-coding RNA is filed under the name Physcomitrium patens. RNAcentral describes it as "long non-coding RNA (PPAT_LNC012883)". The record is from RNAcentral. Lineage: Eukaryota; Viridiplantae; Streptophyta; Bryopsida; Funariales; Funariaceae.